Molecule: long non-coding RNA, 2205 nt
Filed under: Homo sapiens (human)
Lineage: Eukaryota; Metazoa; Chordata; Mammalia; Primates; Hominidae
Description: HSALNT0386357
Source: RNAcentral
CGAGACUCUGUCUCAAUAAACAAAACAAAACAAAGAGCUUUAGAACAGUAAGGAAAGGAAGGAGAAGAAAAGUACAAUGUGGAAGAAGGCCAAGUGGUUGACCUGAGAAACCGAGUGCGCAGCUUGGCCUCUUGACUUGGGGUUUGAUACCUUGGCAUACUUCCAGGAUCUUGGAAGUAAGCUGCUUCCCACUCCGGAGAUCUUACUGGGAAGCUGCUGAUCAGUUGCAGGUGUUUUCUAUUAGGAGACUGCCUUUCCCCCGUACUGGCUGUGACCAAUUACUAAACAGAAACAGUUAACAACCACUUGACCACCACCUGAUGGUCACCCAGCACUCCUAGUGUGUGUGUGUGUGUGUGUGUGUGUGUGUGUGUGUGUGUGUGUGUGUGUGUGUGUUGGGGGGAAGUCCUUUCCUGCCCUGCUCAUACCUAACUAGCUACCUACUGUAAUAAAGCUACCAUUCAGGAACCAAGACAAAAAGGAAAAAAAUACAUUUAACAUUUACAGGUAAAUAAAAGCUGAGAAUGAGCCAAAGAAACUCCCGAAGGAUGUACCUCAAGAAGGAAGAUGAUUCCAGGUCAGCCUAAGAUGCAAGAAGAAGGAAUGAUACCUUAAAGCAAAUGAGAAGACAAGCUAAAUCUGGGAGGAGACAUAUACACAUAUACAUGCAUAAUCAGGAUUGGUAUCAAAAACCCCUAUGAACUAGCAAGAAAAGGAAAAAUGUGCAAAAAAGCCAUGAACCAGCAUUUCACCAAAGAUGAAACAGCUAUGGCCAAAAAUUAUGACAAGAUGCUUAAUUAAGCCCACUGGCUAUUAGGCACGUGGAAGUCAAGACCACAACGAGACAUCAUCUUUCACGCAUUUGAUGGGUAAACAUUAUGAUGUCUGACACUGCUAAAUGUUGGCGAGGACGUGGAUCAACAGGAACUCUCAAAAUUGCUGGCAAAGGAGGGGGCACUGUUUCUAAGAAGAGUGAUGAUACCACCGUAUUUUUGAAAAAUGAUGAAACAGCGUGGGGGAAACUGCUAUGUCUUCCAUAUUCAGGCUUUUUCUUCUCCAAGCCCAUUUCCUCCCUAGCAAUGAUAAGAGGAAACACUCCCGGUGAGUCAGAUGCUCUCUAAAUAUUUUUGCUCAUUGAAUGUUGACACCAGCCCUGUGUUUAGUAUCAUACUGGGAACACGCAUGAGGAGCUGAAGCACAGACAGGUUAAGUGGCUCGCCCAGGGUCAUACAGCUACUCAGUGCUGGAGCCGAGAUCACACCAGGCUCUGCUUCCCCACCAGAACCAUGAGAGGUUGGGAGUGACCCUACUGGACAGGGAUAUCUGAGGUGGGAGGGGCUGUGUGUGUGUUCAUGCUGAGGCCGGCAUGCUUAGAACAUCAACCUCAAUUUUCCUCCCCACAGGGUCUGGCGGGGAGGCAGGGAGCAAGGUCGUUAAGGGUGGGCAGGGUGAGGGGGAGAUUCCCUGACAGCCUGGGUUCUGCCCCUCACUUGCUACAGCCCCAUGCAAGCCUCUUGGCCUCUCUGAGGCUCUGUAUUCUCACCUGUCAAAUGGGGGUUGUCCUGGGUGUUACUUCAAAGGCUGAUGAGAAAGGAGUGAGUGGGCUGGCUCGCAGCCUGGCGUGACAAGCAAUGCAUAAAUGUAUGCCGUAUGAGUCACCUGUCCACAGUGGCCCCAGCAGCUCUCUCUAGCAGGGCUUGGCCAAGACUAGGCCCUCAGAGUGUAAGAAAACUCCUGGUUUGGUGCCUAGCACACUAUAGAUGUGGCAAACUGUGUCCAAGAACGUUUUGAUGGGAGCCUGCCUGGAUGACAGAAGAUCAGAGUGUGCUGGAAUGUCCCACCCUUUCCAGCUUCCCGCAGCCAAGCCAGGCUCUGGGGUGAUCAUUCCCAUAGCAACCACCAGGGGUCAGGGCUGGCCACUUCUGCCUUCUUCCCUCAUCCUAGCGCCUGUGGGUGGCGAUGACAUCCCUGCCAUCUAUGAGGUGGAGCAUUUCCAACAAGAGCAGGUCUGAGGCCCUGGCUUGACUUUCCCAGUCCUGUUAAAGAAGAACAUUGGGAUACCCAACUGUUCUAGCACCAUUUAUUGAAAAGUCAACUCUUCCUUCAAUAUUCAGAAAUGUCACCUCUGUCAUAAACCAGGCAGCCACAUGUGUAUUAGACUGCUGUGUCUUCGUUAUUUCUCCAGAGAGUCUUGCCCUGUUGCCC